RNAcentral lists this ribosomal RNA (372 nucleotides) under Heyndrickxia coagulans. RNAcentral's name for it is "bacterial SSU rRNA". It matches the Rfam family "Bacterial small subunit ribosomal RNA", at positions 273 to 638 of the family's 1533-position model. The record is from RNAcentral. Lineage: Bacteria; Bacillati; Bacillota; Bacilli; Caryophanales; Bacillaceae.
GCGAGAUGCGUAGCCGACCUGAGAGGGUGAUCGGCCACACUGGGACUGAGACACGGCCCAGACUCCUACGGGAGGCAGCAGUAGGGAAUCUUCCGCAAUGGACGAAAGUCUGACGGAGCAACGCCGCGUGAGUGAUGAAGGUUUUCGGAUCGUAAAGCUCUGUUGUUAGGGAAGAACAAGUACCGUUCGAAUAGGGCGGUACCUUGACGGUACCUAACCAGAAAGCCACGGCUAACUACGUGCCAGCAGCCGCGGUAAUACGUAGGUGGCAAGCGUUGUCCGGAAUUAUUGGGCGUAAAGGGCUCGCAGGCGGUUUCUUAAGUCUGAUGUGAAAGCCCCCGGCUCAACCGGGGAGGGUCAUUGAACGUGGGG